CCUACGGGUGGCAGCAGUGAGGAAUAUUGGUCAAUGGACGAGAGUCUGAACCAGCCAAGUAGCGUGAAGGAUGACUGCCCUAUGGGUUGUAAACUUCUUUUAUAAAGGAAUAAAACGAGGCACGUGUGCCUUUUUGCAUGUACUUUAUGAAUAAGGAUCGGCUAACUCCGUGCCAGCAGCCGCGGUAAUACGGAGGAUCCGAGCGUUAUCCGGAUUUAUUUGGUUUAAAGGGAGCGUAGAUGGGUUGUUAAGUCAGUUGUGAAAGUUUGCGGCUCAACCGUAAAAGUGCAAGUGAUACUGGCAGUCUUGAGUACAGUUGAGGUAGGCGGAAUUCGUGGUGUAGCGGUGAAAUGCUUAGAUAUCACGAAGAACCCCGAUUGCGAAGGCAGCUUACUAAACUGUGACUGACAUUGAUGCUCGAAAGUGUGGGUAUCAAACAGGAUUAGAUACCCUUGUAGUC
RNAcentral lists this ribosomal RNA (460 nucleotides) under uncultured bacterium. Its description in RNAcentral is "partial 16S ribosomal RNA". It matches the Rfam family "Bacterial small subunit ribosomal RNA", at positions 338 to 795 of the family's 1533-position model. The record is from RNAcentral.